GUCUGACAGUUUUUGAGGGUUCCAAAGUGAUGUGAUUGGGGGAGAGGUUUGGCCCAUGCUUUCCUGGUUUGUGCUCUGGCCUUUACCUAGCAAGAACCACUUAUCCCUUGGGAAUGCAAUGGAUCCUGCUCCUCACGGUCCCUGUUCCUUCUUGUCAGAAUGUUCUCCUCUGUGCCCUUGAACUGUGACCUGGAAGUCUGUAUAGACAAUGGGGUGUCCAAAUAGCUUCCAAGUUGUUCUCAUGGAAUAGUUGAAGCUUCCCUUGCUACUUACAUUAAAUGUUCACAUUCUCUUUGGGAUUAUAGGUCCAACUCCCAGACCCUUGAACCCACUGUACUUAAAGCAAAUAGAGGAGUUCCUAAUUCAGGCAGCGUCCUGGACAGCGGUUUGGCAACAGCCUUCUGGGAUCUCUGAAUCCCUCCAUCUAGGUGGUUCAUUGGCAGGAGGUGUUGAUCUCCUAUCAAAUUUCUUCCAAACCGCUUUCCACAUAUGCCAUCGGUUUGUUUUUCUUUUUCCAUCAACUACAAGCCAUUCUUGUUUUCUGUAAGUGGACCAUUGGGCAAGCCUGUAAGUAAAAGGAUUUUGAAGUAAUGUGAAUU
This is a non-coding RNA of Phascolarctos cinereus (koala), 599 nucleotides long. The record is from RefSeq and is a predicted model, not a curated record. NCBI's taxonomy places the organism in Eukaryota, Metazoa, Chordata, Mammalia, Diprotodontia, Phascolarctidae.